Molecule: ribosomal RNA, 1155 nt
Filed under: Triticum aestivum (bread wheat)
Lineage: Eukaryota; Viridiplantae; Streptophyta; Magnoliopsida; Poales; Poaceae
Description: partial small subunit ribosomal RNA
Source: RNAcentral
GGGAGCACAGAGCCGCUUCGUUAUCCGCUGGCCGCUGCUGCUGCUUCUCUGCGAGCGAGUGAGUGAGGAAGGGAACGGCGACGAUGGCCGGCAUGGCGGCGCUGCAGGGCGCCAUGGGGGCGCUCUCCGUCUCGGCCGCGAGCACCAGCGCCUUCUGGGGUAACCCGCUCGCCGCCACCUUCUCCGCCGCGCCGUCUGGGGUCAGAUUCAUGGCCAAGACAAGCCCAAUUGAAAUGAGGCUUAAGCGGUGGGAACGGAAGAAGUGUAAGCCAAACAGUCUUCCUAUGCUGCACAAGAUGCAUGUUAGGGUCGGCGACACAGUGCAGGUCAUCGCAGGCCGUGAGAAAGGUAAAGUUGGAGAAGUUGUACGGCUUUACAAGCACAACAGCACUGUGAUAGUGAAGGAUCUGAACUUGAAGUCAAAGCACAAGAAAGGCACAGAGGAUGAACCGGGUGAAAUUGUCAUGAUUGAAGGCCCCAUUCAUAGCUCGAACAUGAUGCUCUACUCAAAGGAGAAGAACGUGACGAGUAGGGUUGGGCACAAAAUCCUCGAGGAUGGCACCAAGGUCCGCUACCUGAAGAAGACCGGUGAAGUGAUCGACAGCGUUGAUAACUGGGUGAAGGUGUUCAAGGAAGGAGAUUCUGAGUCAUCAUCGUAGUAUGGAAACGCUGCACAUGCUCUCAACCUUGGCUGCGCUUAUUGCUGCCCAAACGCUUACUCGGCUGGUGCUGCUGCUUGUAAGAUCAGUUUUCUUCUAGCUUCAGAGCCUCUUUUGUAAAUUACUACUACUACUACAAAGUUGUCACCAUUUUUGCAAUGCUUGGUCCAGCGAGAAGGCCUUUUUUUUUUUACAUUUCUGUCAUUUUGAUGAAUAGUAAUGAUUGCCCCUUUUACAUGUGGAAAUGCAGCACCAUUGCUCUGUUUUGGCAAGUCUAGCAGAAAUACUACAUGUGUAUAUCCGGCAUAUGAAUGUGAGAAGAAACCUGACACAUGCAUCGGAACUAGAGAUCCGUAACCGGCCAUGCCCUGCAAGUUCUUGAACUGUUUUGCAUGGGCGUUGUACCUAGCAAUUGUCCAUUUGUCCUGUAACAUGGAGUGUGCCAGUUCAUGGGCAGCAGGGUUGAAUUUCUAAUGCAUGCGCAUGUGUUUCAUUA